RNAcentral lists this long non-coding RNA (848 nucleotides) under Heterocephalus glaber (naked mole-rat). Its description in RNAcentral is "lncRNA (ENSHGLG00100048699.1)". The record is from RNAcentral. Lineage: Eukaryota; Metazoa; Chordata; Mammalia; Rodentia; Bathyergidae.
CCGCCAGGGAGAGUGUUGUCUCGGCUCACGCUGACGCCUCCACGCCUUUACUGAGGUAGGAGUCUAGAAAGCAGGCUGUGUGGAAAGGGAUGGGCUCCGUAGGUUAAAGAAGAGUUUGGUGUGGAUCACAGCCAACCUUGAGGGGACCUAUGGGGAGGUAAGCCCCCCGCACGUGGUAAAGAAGGCCAAACAGCAAUCUCUGAGCAUGGGCUCCAGCCAAGGCACUGGGGCGCUGGUGUGGAGACCGGAAGAGGAAGGAGGACAGGCGCGCAUGCGUGAGCGCCUAGGCGAGGCCGUGGGAGCGCACGGGCCCGCCUGUGCAGGUGUAGCGACUCUGUUCUCAGGCCAGGAAGGCACGCUCUGCCCCGCCCAGACCAUGCCCACCUCAGCACGCGGGCUGUGUCCACUGGGACCUGGCACCAAGGCGCGACUGAAAACUGGGCUUCUAGCUCUUCUCCAAAGUCAAAAUGACCAUGAAAGGGAAAUGUUUUGAAUCGAUUCAGGACAUCCAGGCAGCCACCACAGUGCAACUAAAGGCACUCAGGAAAGAGGACUUCCAGAGCUGCUUCAGAAGGUGGCAAGAAUGAUGGGCUUAGCUAGAGACUGGAAGCACAGGGAGCAGAGCUCUUCCACUGGUGGACAGUUUGCUGAGUAUGCCUGGUACACUGAAGGCCUUCUCUUCGCCUCUGGUGGGGUAGGUGCAGCUCUACUGGCAGCCUCGGAUUUUGAUAGCAAGGAAUGACUUCUGAGGUGAAUAUUCCAUUCAACAGUUUUCUUCUUUUUACAAUUUUCUGCACCAAUUACUGUAUGGCUGUUCAUGAUUGUACACCUGUCCCAUUGGUCAUGCA